UGGUCUUAGCUUGCUAAGGCCGAUGGCGACCGGCGCACGGGUGAGUAACACGUAUCCAACCUGCCGUCUACUCUUGGACAGCCUUCUGAAAGGAAGAUUAAUACAAGAUGGCAUCAUGAGUCCGCAUGUUCACAUGAUUAAAGGUAUUCCGGUAGACGAUGGGGAUGCGUUCCAUUAGAUAGUAGGCGGGGUAACGGCCCACCAAGACCUACGACUGGAUAGGGGUUCCUUGGAGAGGAAGGUCCCCACAUUGGAACUGAGACUACGGUCCAAACCUCCG
Molecule: ribosomal RNA, 280 nt
Filed under: uncultured Bacteroides sp.
Lineage: Bacteria; Pseudomonadati; Bacteroidota; Bacteroidia; Bacteroidales; Bacteroidaceae
Description: partial 16S ribosomal RNA
Rfam family: Bacterial small subunit ribosomal RNA
Source: RNAcentral